AUUGAACGCUGGCGGCAGGCCUAACACAUGCAAGUCGAGCGGUAGAGAGAAGCUUGCUUCUCUUGAGAGCGGCGGACGGGUGAGUAAUGCCUAGGAAUCUGCCUGGUAGUGGGGGAUAACGUUCGGAAACGGACGCUAAUACCGCAUACGUCCUACGGGAGAAAGCAGGGGACCUUCGGGCCUUGCGCUAUCAGAUGAGCCUAGGUCGGAUUAGCUAGUUGGUGAGGUAAUGGCUCACCAAGGCGACGAUCCGUAACUGGUCUGAGAGGAUGAUCAGUAACACUGGAACUGAGACACGGUCCAGACUCCUACGGGAGGCAGCAGUGGGGGAUAUUGGACAAUGGGCGAAAGCCUGAUCCAGCCAUGCCGCGUGUGUGAAGAAGGUCUUCGGAUUGUAAAGCACUUUAAGUUGGGAGGAAGGGUUGUAGAUUAAUACUCUGCAAUUUUGACGUUACCGACAGAAUAAGCACCGGCUAACUCUGUGCCAGCCGCCGCAGUAA
This 500-nucleotide ribosomal RNA is filed under the name uncultured bacterium. RNAcentral's name for it is "partial 16S ribosomal RNA". It matches the Rfam family "Bacterial small subunit ribosomal RNA", at positions 30 to 523 of the family's 1533-position model. The record is from RNAcentral.